Small nuclear RNA from Pipistrellus kuhlii (Kuhl's pipistrelle), 164 nucleotides. RefSeq annotates it as U1 spliceosomal RNA. Lineage: Eukaryota; Metazoa; Chordata; Mammalia; Chiroptera; Vespertilionidae. The transcript has a single exon. The record is from RefSeq and is a predicted model, not a curated record.
AUACUUACCUGCCAGGAGAGCUACCAUGAUCAUGAAGAUAGUUUUCCCAGGGCAAGGCUUAUCCAUGGCACUAUGGAUGUAUUGUCUCCUGCGAGUUCCCCUAAUGUGAGAAAAUCAACUGCAUAAUUUGUAAUAGUGGGGGACUGUGUUCUUUCAUGCAUGAA